GUCUUGGCUCAACCCACUGAGUCUACGGCUCUAGAUCAGGCCAGUUCAGCUAGCCUGCCUGCUGCCUGUGCUCUGCAGAUUGAGGAUUGGCUGCACAGUGGUGCUUAACACCAACCACACAGCAUACUGUCGGUCGAUGGAGACAUAUUAGGCGUGCACAGCGUUUCAUUAAUACAGAGCUGUAUGUGGCUGCUGUUCUCAUUUUGCCUUUGUAUGCGGAAUGAACUGAGGUGCUUCUUCUACUGCCUUCUGAACAUACUGCUGAUUCUUCUAUGGACACAGAUUGAGGUGCGGUGCCCCGUGCAGACAGAGUAAAGUGGAGAGAGGAAGAUGCCAGCCCCACCUCCCCACACCCCCAGGGCCUCCCCCUCCUCCACCUUAGUUCUG
This is a long non-coding RNA of Notolabrus celidotus (New Zealand spotty), 387 nucleotides long. RefSeq lists it as uncharacterized. NCBI's taxonomy places the organism in Eukaryota, Metazoa, Chordata, Actinopteri, Labriformes, Labridae. The record is from RefSeq and is a predicted model, not a curated record. The transcript is spliced from 3 exons.